RNAcentral lists this microRNA (24 nucleotides) under Solanum tuberosum (potato). RNAcentral's name for it is "stu-miR7994b-3p". Lineage: Eukaryota; Viridiplantae; Streptophyta; Magnoliopsida; Solanales; Solanaceae. The record is from miRBase by way of RNAcentral.
AUAUUAUACUUGGGCAUAAACUCC